GGGGGCGUACUUGGUUUCGACGGGGGUGAGUUGCGUCUGAGAAGCGAGUCGAGGGAACCUGUGGGCCCGCGUUAAAAAACUAUGGGAUUAAAUUUAAACGCAAACGAUAAUUUAGCUUUAGCAGCUUAGUUCUGCUACGUCCGUCCUUUGAGUCCCGCGGCUUAGGAAUGGGCGUCGACAGCGGGGUACCGAGUCUAACAAAGCUUUGAGUUAGAAACGGAAUUUAUGAAGCUACUGAAAUCGGUAUCCUGUCAGCGGGAGACCGAUAGAGGGAAAAGGGACCGGGACGCAUAUCGAAAAAUAUGUGCCACCAGCCUGUAAGUACACUGAAUGCGCUCGGAGAAACUCGGAUUGUCUGACUUUCGGACAGGGGUUCAAUACCCCUCGCCUCCACCA
This 396-nucleotide transfer-messenger RNA is filed under the name Clostridiaceae bacterium. It matches the Rfam family "transfer-messenger RNA". Rfam says of the family: Bacterial tmRNA, also known as 10Sa RNA or SsrA, is named for its dual tRNA and mRNA-like properties. Its role is to liberate the mRNA from a stalled ribosome. The record is from RNAcentral. RNAcentral also lists the same sequence under 1 other name. Lineage: Bacteria; Bacillati; Bacillota; Clostridia; Eubacteriales; Clostridiaceae.